RNAcentral lists this transfer RNA (71 nucleotides) under Heterocephalus glaber (naked mole-rat). It matches the Rfam family "tRNA". Rfam says of the family: Transfer RNA (tRNA) molecules are approximately 80 nucleotides in length. Their secondary structure includes four short double-helical elements and three loops (D, anti-codon, and T loops). The record is from Rfam by way of RNAcentral. Lineage: Eukaryota; Metazoa; Chordata; Mammalia; Rodentia; Bathyergidae.
UGGGGUGUAGCUCAGUGGUAGAGUACUUGGUUAGCAUGCAUGAGGCCCUGGGUUCUAUCCUAGCACUGCAA